Molecule: ribosomal RNA, 1345 nt
Filed under: Salmonella enterica subsp. enterica serovar Enteritidis
Lineage: Bacteria; Pseudomonadati; Pseudomonadota; Gammaproteobacteria; Enterobacterales; Enterobacteriaceae
Description: partial 23S ribosomal RNA
Rfam family: Bacterial large subunit ribosomal RNA
Source: RNAcentral
GGUUCACUUUAACACUGAGGCGUGACGACGAGGCACUACGGUGCUGAAGCAACAAAUGCCCUGCUUCCAGGAAAAGCCUCUAAGCAUCAGGUAACAUCAAAUCGUACCCCAAACCGACACAGGUGGUCAGGUAGAGAAUACCAAGGCGCUUGAGAGAACUCGGGUGAAGGAACUAGGCAAAAUGGUGCCGUAACUUCGGGAGAAGGCACGCUGACACGUAGGUGAAGUGAUUUACUCAUGGAGCUGAAGUCAGUCGAAGAUACCAGCUGGCUGCAACUGUUUAUUAAAAACACAGCACUGUGCAAACACGAAAGUGGACGUAUACGGUGUGACGCCUGCCCGGUGCCGGAAGGUUAAUUGAUGGGGUCAGCGCAAGCGAAGCUCCUGAUCGAAGCCCCGGUAAACGGCGGCCGUAACUAUAACGGUCCUAAGGUAGCGAAAUUCCUUGUCGGGUAAGUUCCGACCUGCACGAAUGGCGUAAUGAUGGCCAGGCUGUCUCCACCCGAGACUCAGUGAAAUUGAACUCGCUGUGAAGAUGCAGUGUACCCGCGGCAAGACGGAAAGACCCCGUGAACCUUUACUAUAGCUUGACACUGAACAUUGAGCCUUGAUGUGUAGGAUAGGUGGGAGGCUUUGAAGUGUGGACGCCAGUCUGCAUGGAGCCGACCUUGAAAUACCACCCUUUAAUGUUUGAUGUUCUAACGUGGACCCGUUACCCGGGUUGCGGACAGUGUCUGGUGGGUAGUUUGACUGGGGCGGUCUCCUCCUAAAGAGUAACGGAGGAGCACGAAGGUUGGCUAAUCCUGGUCGGACAUCAGGAGGUUAGUGCAAUGGCAUAAGCCAGCUUGACUGCGAGCGUGACGGCGCGAGCAGGUGCGAAAGCAGGUCAUAGUGAUCCGGUGGUUCUGAAUGGAAGGGCCAUCGCUCAACGGAUAAAAGGUACUCCGGGGAUAACAGGCUGAUACCGCCCAAGAGUUCAUAUCGACGGCGGUGUUUGGCACCUCGAUGUCGGCUCAUCACAUCCUGGGGCUGAAGUAGGUCCCAAGGGUAUGGCUGUUCGCCAUUUAAAGUGGUACGCGAGCUGGGUUUAGAACGUCGUGAGACAGUUCGGUCCCUAUCUGCCGUGGGCGCUGGAGAACUGAGGGGGGCUGCUCCUAGUACGAGAGGACCGGAGUGGACGCAUCACUGGUGUUCGGGUUGUCAUGCCAAUGGCACUGCCCGGUAGCUAAAUGCGGAAGAGAUAAGUGCUGAAAGCAUCUAAGCACGAAACUUGCCCCGAGAUGAGUUCUCCCUGAGACUUAGAGUCUCCUGAAGGAACGUUGAAGACGACGACGUUGAUAGGCCG